GACGAACGCUGGCGGCGUGCUUAACACAUGCAAGUCGAACGGAAAGGCCCUGCUUUUGUGGGGUGCUCGAGUGGCGAACGGGUGAGUAACACGUGAGUAACCUGCCCUUGACUUUGGGAUAACUUCAGGAAACUGGGGCUAAUACCGGAUAGGAGCUCCUGCUGCAUGGUGGGGGUUGGAAAGUUUCGGCGGUUGGGGAUGGACUCGCGGCUUAUCAGCUUGUUGGUGGGGUAGUGGCUUACCAAGGCUUGGACGGGUAGCCGGCCUGAGAGGGUGACCGGCCACAUUGGGACUGAGAUACGGCCCAGACUCCUACGGGAGGCAGCAGUGGGGAAGAUUGCACAAUGGGCGGAAGCCUGAUGCAGCAACGCCGCGUGCGGGAUGACGGCCUUCGGGGUGUAAACCGCUUUCGCCUGUGACGAAGCGUGAGUGACGGUAAUGGGUAAAGAAGCACCGGCUAACUACGUG
RNAcentral lists this ribosomal RNA (468 nucleotides) under uncultured bacterium. RNAcentral's name for it is "partial 16S ribosomal RNA". It matches the Rfam family "Bacterial small subunit ribosomal RNA", at positions 28 to 507 of the family's 1533-position model. The record is from RNAcentral.